This 209-nucleotide long non-coding RNA is filed under the name Mytilus galloprovincialis (Mediterranean mussel). The record is from RNAcentral. Lineage: Eukaryota; Metazoa; Mollusca; Bivalvia; Mytilida; Mytilidae.
AUGACCCCUUUAAGUCCCUUGUCUGAGGGAUAACCUGAUAAUAAUAAACAUAGGUCAAAGUACGGCCUUUUACACAGAGCUUUGAUCCAGACCAAACAGCAAGCUAUAAGGGACCACAACUUAGUAUUGUACACAAUUCGAACAGGAAAACCAACGAUCUAAUUUAUAUUUCCAAACGGGAAAAUACCACAUCAACAAACGAUAACUGC